Callithrix jacchus (white-tufted-ear marmoset) is the source of this 5371-nucleotide non-coding RNA. NCBI's taxonomy places the organism in Eukaryota, Metazoa, Chordata, Mammalia, Primates, Cebidae. The record is from RefSeq and is a predicted model, not a curated record.
AGCCACGAGGCUGAGGAGCAGGCGGUGGAGGAGGCCACAUUGUAGCGGGACAGCAACUGCGAGUGGAAGCCACCCGCGCGGCCGGCCCCGGAGACGCGAGCAGACAGGCGGGAGUCGUCCCCGAACACCUUGAGGUAGAUCCAGAGAAGGUGGCAGUGAAUGUGAAGACUCUAAGAAGAAUCAUCCCAUUGAGACAAGCAAAGAAGAAAACAUACAAAUAGAAGAUGAAGAGACAAUCAAAUUAAGUGACUAUGCUCAGCAGGAUUAUUUGUGCCCAUGAGGGAAAAGCGAAGGACUGUCAGUAUUCAUUUGCUAUCAGAACUGCCUUUGAACUUCAGGGAAGCGGCCAUCUUGUUUUUGUUCACCCCUCUAAAGGAUAGUGUCUGCAACAUGAAACACGACCCACCAUGGAAUAUAUCAUAUUUACCCUCAGUCUUGGAGAAGGCCCAAAGGAAAGCCAGAUGAACACCAUCCUAAAUGUGAAGGCCUGCGAAGGCAAUGGGAUAAAAUUGCAGCAGAAAUAUCAGCAUCCGACAAGAUAGUGCCCUGGUUAUCGCUGGCUUGGAUUCCUCAGAGAGAAAAACAAAUCCAUGUAUGGAGAGGGGUGAAGCUGAUUUACCUGAUCAAUGAUGAACCUGGGAGGAGGAACUGAGCCCACCUGGCUCAACUGCUUCCUGGUUCUCUGGCAAAGGACUUACGCUCUCCUGACCUGGCAGUUCACUUAGCAGAGAAGGCCUUGUCCUCACCAGAAACUCCCUGGUUUCCAGUGCUGUCUGUCACAGAGUGGUGAGUUGAAUUCAGAGAAGAACCACUUGGCUACCAGACCUAAGGCAACCUUCUCCCAUCUAACCGGAAUAAAGGUCCUUGAGGAAUUGCCACACUGUCUUCCACAAUUGUUGGACAAAUUUGCACUCCCACCAACAGAAUAUAUGAUGCAGCUGGGCCCGGUGGCUCACACCUGUAAUCCCAGCACUUGGAAGACUGAGCAAACAGAGGUUUUGAAAUGAACAUGACACAUUUUUCAGAAAUGGGGAGAUGAUGAGGACAGAUAUUUGCCUAAGUCCUGCCCCUUUGAACAUGAUCUGCCUCACAUUCUGAGUUGCUGCUACAUUUGCUCCGAGAAGCCAUGGGCUGGAGCUUUCUGGAGCACAAGUCAGAUGACAAGAUUAUUAAUGGGAGCAGGGCAAUGUCAUAUCUGAUUUCAUGCAUAUUCAUGAAGGGAGCCACACAGCUGGGACCAUGCGCUGUGGAGAGGGAAAAUAAAGAGUGCUCUGCUCUCCACCCCUGGCAUGAAGAAUGUCAUUGUGAAGAGGAGGAGCCUGAUUGGAAAAGUUUAAGUAAUUGUAGCCUUUGUUUUGAAAAAUGGGUAUAGAAUUUGCAGAAACAACAAAACUCCGGCCAAACGAUGUCAGUCAAUAUUGAGUUCUAUAGCACCUUACAUCUAAGGCUCACCUACCUAGAAGCUCUCUGGACUGAAGUCUGCAGAGAUAGAACUUUUGCACAUGGUGUCAACAAAAUAAAUAAAUGCUUACAGGAACAAAAGAGAGGAAAAGAAAGAAAAAGAAAGAAAGAAUGAAUGAAUGAAUCAGUUUCUAAUGACAGUUAAAACAUGGACUCUUCUUCCAAUGCAAGAUCAAGCAUGAUUAGUUAUGUAUUAAACAAUGUAAAAUCCUAAGAGGGAUAAAACUUAGUUGGUUACUGAGACCAGGUUCCAAUAUCUUUUCAGUCCCAACAAAGUAAUUGCCAGGAAAUUCCUUGCAAUCUUAAUUCUGUAGCCUAGACAAGCAACAAAGCAGCUGUCUGUACCUUAGGACUUUGGAAAUUCUACGUAGUAUUACAGAACCUACCAAUCAAAGCAAAGAGACAGAUCAGGGAAAAGAGUCAAUCACAAACAUGUUUUGUGCAACUAACUAGAAAGAAAAUAAGGUUCUCAAGAGGCACCACUAAGAGAAGAACUGUUGCGAAGAAUCUUCUUGGUCAUCCAUCUGUGCCCAAGCAACCACAGGGAAGAGGGACCAGUGAGAAGACGCCAAACAGCUGUCUGCAAACAAGAAAAGAAAAGAAGCCACCAGAAUUUGGAAGACUCUGAGCCCCAAACUUACAUGAAGCAACUGCAUUUAAGUACAGCAAGGGGAGGACUAAGAUGGAUGCUAUGAGAUGCCCACCACAUCCCCCAGCACUGAGGCUCCCAUACUUCCCUUGCCAGUUUAAGUACUGGGACUCACAGCUGGAGUUGAGAGCCUUUCUCCCCCUGACAUCUCCAGGUGGUGGUGAGACAUCAUCAAAUCCUAAGAAACAGUGCACUUGAAGGUUUUUCACUCACUGCAUCAAAGAGGAGAAAAAUAUUUCUCUCCACUGCCUAAAGAACAAGAUGAAUUUUAAUACUUUGAGUUUGAAGAAUGAUGUUUCAAGUUUCGUCACUUCUGCACCGCAUCUGACCCUUAGGAAUCCAGCUCAAGGCAUGUAUGGAUAAAGGCAAGCACUCUAAGCCCACUACUUUUGAGCCUGCCCACCCUCUGACAAGGAGUUCCAGGUCUGCCCUGGGGAGAGGCUGGCCACGUCACUUCUGUUGAGUUUCCUCGAAGAUAUAAUACGAGUUCUAGACAAAAGACCGGCUGGAAAGCUCAAGCAGACUGGGACCACAUAGCAAAACAAAGUGCAGAACACAUCUUCUUUUCUUUGUAAGAAGCAUUUUGCCUACUUUCAAAAUUCCAGUUACCACCAGGCCUGGUGGCUCACACCUGCAAUCCCAGCACUUUGGGAAGCUGAAGCCGGUGGAUCACUUGCAAUCAGGACUUUGAGACAGCCUGGCCAACAUGGAUUGCAGCAUUUUCUUCAAUGGUAGCCGCUUUUCUCAUGGGAGAGGGAUUGUGAUUCAGCUCUUGACUCUUCUAAGUGCUUCAUUCUGCUACAGCUCUGAAAUCUUUGCAAAGAUCUAACACCAUCAAAUGGAAGAGCAUACAAUCUAAAGUGAAAAUUACGAGCUCCCUCAAGCUGGUGGAUCACACACACUGUUCAAUAGAGGACACAUAGACAAAUAAGAUACACAUGGCAUCAAGAACAUCACAGUCAGAAGCAGACUUUAUGGAUGUAUCAAAAGAGGCUGCCUGUGGCACUGUUUUGAGAGGCAUCCGGAGUACCGUGGUAUCCACAGAAUGCUCAGCAGGAGAGUGCUGUGAUCGAUUGGCCAUGUGGCUGGGAUGCUAUGAUGGAAAUGAAGACCCAAGUAUCAGGUGUUUGACAACAGGAUCAAGGUGAAGUGACAGUCAUGUAAACAAUGGUAUACCAUAAAAUGCUAAUACAGAGACACACAGGAGGUGCUGUGGGAACACAAUAGUGGUAGGGUGGGUCAGGGAAGACUCUAAAAGGGAGAUGAUACUAGAUUUGAGUCUCUAAUGGAGUCAGGUAUGUAUCAGGUUGAUGAUGGUAUGAAAGCCUCGCCCAAGGAACACAAUAAUACACACAGAAAGAAAGGUGGAAAGGAGCAUGGGAUGUUCAAAUACUCACAGCAGUUCAGCAUUUCUAGAGGACAAACCAAGGAUCUCAUGUCCAGUCUGUUCCUACUUCCUAUUGAUUUUAAUUCCUCAAACUUUUAUUUCUCAAACUUUUUUCCUUCUCUCCAUCCAGGCCCUGGACUCAGCCUUCACCUUUAACCUAGGCUAUCACAGUGGCCUCCUAACUAGUUUUUACACAUCCACGUCUCUAUUUGUUUACUUAUUUGUUUAUUCAUUCAAUGAUUUCACUGAGGAAUAUUUUACAUAUAAAGAUUUUUUAUUUUGAGUAUACAAUUUACUGAUUUUUUCAGUAAAUUUAAAGUGUGUGGAGCCAUCAUUAUAAUGCAAUUCUAGAACAUUUCCAUCAGUCCAAAAAUACUUUUUGUGUCCUUUAGCAUUAACUUCCCAUUCCCUCCUCCAACCUCCAUCCCCUGGCAAACACUAAUAGACUCUCAGUCUCCAUAGAUUUGCCUUUCUGGAUGCUUCAUAUCCAGGAACUCAUAUAAGAAGUAGUAUUUUUGUGUCUGGCUUCCUUAGCAUGGUGUUUUUGAAAUUCAUCCUUGUCAUGGUACGUAUAAGUACUUUAUUCUUUUUCCUUACAGAAUAGUAUGCCAUUGUAUGGAUAUAUGACAUUUUAUCUAUUCACCUGUUGAUGGACAUUUGGGUUGUUUCUACUUUAGGUUAUUAUGAAUAAUGUUACAAUAGGCAUUGAAACCGUAUGGUUUUCGUGUAGUCAUAUGUCUUUAUUUCUUUUGCUUAGAUACCUAGGAGUGAAAUUUCUGGUCAUAAGGUAAAUUUAAGGCACUGCCAACUCUUCAAGGGUGGCUUUACAAGGUUUUAUUUCCAUCAACAAUGUGCACAGUAUUCCCCUUUCCAGUUUUUACUCCACACUGUUAGCAGAGGACUUUUUUUUCAAAAUUUAAAUAUAUCACUUUAUUUUUAUAGCUCUAAAAGAUUUCAUUGGAUUCUUGUUCUCCGAGUAAAGUACCACAUAUUUAACAGAGCCUGUGAGGUCCAGGUAAAGAUCUGGUCCUUAUUUACCUCUUUAUGCACCUCUUUAUUUCUUCAUAUUACAUUUUACUCUCUAUUCUAACCAUACCAGACUCCAGACUCCGUUCAGUUCUUUUUUUUUUUUUUGAGAUGGAGUUUUGCUCUUGUCACCCAGGCUAGAGGAAUCCAGUGGCAAGAUCUCGGCUUGCCACAACCUCCACCUCCAGGGCUCAAGUGAUUACCCUGCUUCAGAAUUCCAAAUAGCUGGGAUUACAAGCACCUGCCACCACUCCCAGCUAAUUUUUUGUAUUUUUAGUAGAGAUGGGUUUUUGCCAGGUAGGGCAGGCUGGCCUUGAACUCCUGACCUCAGGUGAUCCACCCAUCUCAGCCUCCCAAAGUGCCACAAUUAAGGCAUGAGCCACUGUGCUAGGUCUUCAGUUCUUUAAACACAAUGCAUUUCUUUAACAGAGGCUUUCCAAAUACUGUGUCCAAACUUAAAUGCUCACUUUGCCACCCAUUUGCAUUUUUUCUCCUUCUUAAAAAUACCUAUCCCUGGCCGGGCACGGUGGCUCACGCCUAUAAUCCCAGCACUUUGGGAGGCCGAGGCGGGUGGAUCACGAGGUAAAGAGAUCAAGACCAUCCUGAUCAACAUGGUGAAACCCCGUCUCUACUAAAAAAAAAAAUACAAAAAUUAGCUGGGCAUGGUGGUGCGCACCUGUAGUCCCAGCUACUCGGGAGGCUGAGGCAGGAGAAUUGCUUGAACCCAGAAGGCGGAGGUUGCGGUGAGCCAAGAUCGUGCCAUUGCACUCCAGUCUGGGUAACAACAGCAAAACUCUAUCUAAAAAAAAAAAAAAAAAAAAAAAAAAAAAAACCUAUCCCUCCUUUGG